UACGUAGGGGGCGAGCGUUGUCCGGAAUUAUUGGGCGUAAAGAGCUCGUAGGCGGCUCAGCAAGUCGGCUGUGAAAUCCCGAGGCUCAACCUCGGAACUGCAGUCGAUACUGCUGUGGCUAGAGUCUGGUAGAGGAGAGUGGAAUUCCCGGUGUAGCGGUGAAAUGCGCAGAUAUCGGGAGGAACACCAGUAGCGAAGGCGGCUCUCUGGGCCAGCACUGACGCUGAGGAGCGAAAGCGUGGGGAGCAAACA
This 252-nucleotide ribosomal RNA is filed under the name uncultured prokaryote. RNAcentral describes it as "partial 16S ribosomal RNA". It matches the Rfam family "Bacterial small subunit ribosomal RNA", at positions 524 to 774 of the family's 1533-position model. The record is from RNAcentral.